CAGUCGCCGCGGGAAUACAGAGGGUGCAAGCGUUAAUCGGAUUUACUGGGCGUAAAGGGCGCGUAGGUGGUUAUUUAAGUGAGAUGUGAAAGCCCCGGGCUUAACCUAGGAACUGCAUCUUAUACUGGGUAACUGGAGUGCAGUAGAGGGUAGUGGAAUUUCCGGUGUAGCGGUGAAAUGCGUAGAUAUCGGAAGGAACACCAGUGGCGAAGGCGGCUACCUGGACUGAGACUGACACUGAGGCGCGAGGGCGUGGGGAGCAAACAGGAUUAGAUACCCGAGUAGUCCCUGUCUCUUAUAU
Molecule: ribosomal RNA, 301 nt
Filed under: uncultured bacterium
Lineage: Bacteria
Description: partial 16S ribosomal RNA
Rfam family: Bacterial small subunit ribosomal RNA
Source: RNAcentral